This 509-nucleotide ribosomal RNA is filed under the name uncultured bacterium. RNAcentral's name for it is "bacterial SSU rRNA". It matches the Rfam family "Bacterial small subunit ribosomal RNA", at positions 28 to 528 of the family's 1533-position model. The record is from RNAcentral.
GACGAACGCUGGCGGCGUGGAUUAGGCAUGCAAGUCGAACGGUAUCAUCCUUUCGGGGGUGAGAGAGUGGCGAACUGGUGAGUAACACGUAGGUUAUCUACCCUCAAGACGGGGACAACCCAGGGAAACUUGGGCUAAUACCGGAUGUGAGCAACUUUUAGUUGUUUGAAAGGUGGCGUAAGCUGUCGCUUGGGGAUGAGCCUGCGUCCUAUUAGUUAGUUGGUGAGGUAACGGCUCACCUAGGCAAUGAUAGGUAGGCGGCCUUAACGGGUGGUCGCCCACACUGGGAUUGAGAUACGGCCCAGACUCCUACGGGAGGCAGCAGUCGAGAAUAGUCUACAAUGGUCGGAAGACUGAUAGUGCGACGCCGCGUGAACGAUGAAUCCCUUCGGGUGUAAAGUUCUUUUAUAUGUGAGCAGUGCUUCUUAUAUUAACAGUAUGGGGAGAGAGAUAUUAGCAUAUGAAUAAAGCAACGGCUAACUCCGUGCCAGCAGCCGCGGUAAACUCGU